Molecule: ribosomal RNA, 200 nt
Filed under: uncultured bacterium
Lineage: Bacteria
Description: partial 16S ribosomal RNA
Rfam family: Bacterial small subunit ribosomal RNA
Source: RNAcentral
AGAGUUUGAUCCUGGCUCAGAACGAACGCUGGCGGCAUGCCUAACACAUGCAAGUCGAACGCUCUUGGGGAUUUCGGUCCGCAAGGGAGUGGCGCACGGGUGAGUAGCGCGUGGGAACCUGCCCUUUUGUGGGGGAUAACCGAGGGAAACUUCGGCUAAUACCGCAUGCGCCCCCAGGGCGACCUGGGGGGAAAGAUUUA